Molecule: non-coding RNA, 21 nt
Filed under: Arabidopsis thaliana (thale cress)
Lineage: Eukaryota; Viridiplantae; Streptophyta; Magnoliopsida; Brassicales; Brassicaceae
Source: RNAcentral
UAAAGGACCAUGCAUCCAGUA